CAGUAGCCGCGGGAAUACGAAGGGGGCUAGCGUUACUCGGAAUUACUGGGCGUAAAGGGCGCGUAGGCGGCACGAUUAGUCAGGCGUGAAAUUCCUGGGCUCAACCUGGGGACUGCGCUUGAUACGGUCGAGCUAGAGGAUGGAAGAGGGUCGUGGAAUUCCCAGUGUAGAGGUGAAAUUCGUAGAUAUUGGGAAGAACACCGGUGGCGAAGGCGGCGACCUGGUCCAUUACUGACGCUGAGGCGCGACAGCGUGGGGAGCAAACAGGAUUAGAUACCCCUGUAGUCCCUGUCUCUUAUAC
RNAcentral lists this ribosomal RNA (301 nucleotides) under uncultured bacterium. RNAcentral describes it as "partial 16S ribosomal RNA". It matches the Rfam family "Bacterial small subunit ribosomal RNA", at positions 509 to 807 of the family's 1533-position model. The record is from RNAcentral.